CUUCUUUUUCUAUUCACACAUGUCAGAUAGAGACAUGCGUGUUGUAAAUUAUUUUGUCAGAAUGAGAGCCUGGCAGAUUAAAUGCUUUCUUCUCUUCUUGCUGGACUUGAUAUCGAUCUCUUGUUCAUUUCUUGAUAAUAUGUUUGGUUAUUUUUGUUUUCAUUGCUUUUAGUGUCAGAGAUGGCUUUGGAUUCCCUGUUCUGCGUGCUCCUGCCUGGCUCCUGAACCCAGCUGGAGAGGUGUGUCAAUCCCAACUGGUGAAGUACUGAGAGGAAGCUGCACAAAAGGCAGCAAGGUAUUACUGAGUGGUGUCAUUGAGCAAACACAGAGUGGGGCUCAUCGAGGGAUGAGAUUUUGCCAGAGAAAGGACGAGCAGCAAGUCAGGGAGCUUAAGGUGGUGGAAAGCAAAUCCCUCGCAGCAACUGGCACCAUAAUCAAGACAGAAUGUUUGCAGAAUAAAUGGAGUUACCUGCUUUCAGCCCCGGGUGGUAGCUGUUGUCUGCCCUGAUGAUAUGUGAUAAUAAUUUGUGAUCCUGUUGUCUUAAAAUGGGGUCACUCAUCUCCAGUAGAAUUAAGUCCACAGUGAAGUUGUCCUCCCAUCCCCAAAGAGAUAAACAUAUAUGAAUGAACUCACGUGAUAACAACUACUGCUGCCUGGGAUCAUGAGAGACCUGAACUGAACUGAUAGGAAGUGAAAGGUGGCUGAGAUAAUGAGAAUAGACCCAUCUGCAGAGGAUCAUAAAACCAGCAAAGACAAGGUCUUGUCUAAGAUGCCUUCACAAGCUUUGUCUGUGAGAACUCUAAGGAUUUCUCCAGACCUGUUGGCUGCUGCUGUGAUCUCUGCCCAAGAGGAGCCUCUGACCAGCAUCCAAAAGGCUUCUGGACCCACUGGACUCUUCUGGAGGUACAUUGGUCUCCCGAGCCAUGGCUGUGGUUUUUUACUCCCUGUAUCACUGCCUGUGUGUAGAAUGAUAAUUGCAUAAUUGAUAGUGUGAAGACCUCUUGAUAAAUGGUAAAUCUGAGCAUA
RNAcentral lists this long non-coding RNA (1027 nucleotides) under Pongo abelii (Sumatran orangutan). RNAcentral's name for it is "lincRNA". The record is from RNAcentral. Lineage: Eukaryota; Metazoa; Chordata; Mammalia; Primates; Hominidae.